RNAcentral lists this ribosomal RNA (261 nucleotides) under uncultured soil bacterium. RNAcentral's name for it is "partial 16S ribosomal RNA". It matches the Rfam family "Bacterial small subunit ribosomal RNA", at positions 26 to 280 of the family's 1533-position model. The record is from RNAcentral.
AGGAUGAACGCUGGCGGCGUGCCUAAUACAUGCAAGUCGAACGAGGUGCUUUUGUAGCAAUACGAAAGUAUCCUAGUGGCGAACGGGUGAGUAACGCGUUGGUGACCUACCCCAAAGUGUGGGAUAACAGUCCGAAAGGAUUGCUAAUACCGCAUGUGGUUAUCGGAUCUAGAAACUGAUAACUAAAGGAGCAAUUCGCUUUGGGAGGGACCCGCGUCCCAUCAGCUAGUUGGUGAGGUAAUGGCUCACCAAGGCUACGAC